GACGAACGCUGGCGGCGUGCCUAAUACAUGCAAGUAGAACGCUGAAGAGAGGAGCUUGCUCUUCUUGGAUGAGUUGCGAACGGGUGAGUAACGCGUAGGUAACCUGCCUGGUAGCGGGGGAUAACUAUUGGAAACGAUAGCUAAUACCGCAUGAAAUUGCUUAUCGCAUGAUAAUUAAUUGAAAGAUGCAAUUGCAUCACUACCAGAUGGACCUGCGUUGUAUUAGCUAGUUGGUGAGGUAACGGCUCACCAAGGCGACGAUACAUAGCCGACCUGAGAGGGUGAUCGGCCACACUGGGACUGAGACACGGCCCAGACUCCUACGGGAGGCAGCAGUAGGGAAUCUUCGGCAAUGGGGGGAACCCUGACCGAGCAACGCCGCGUGAGUGAAGAAGGUUUUCGGAUCGUAAAGCUCUGUUGUAAGAGAAGAACGGGUGUGAGAGUGGAAAGUUCACACUGUGACGGUAUCUUACCAGAAAGGGACGGCUAACUACGUGCCAGCAGCCGCGGUAAUACGUAGGUCCCGAGCGUUGUCCGGAUUUAUUGGGCGUAAAGCGAGCGCAGGCGGUUAGAUAAGUCUGAAGUUAAAGGCUGUGGCUUAACCACAGUAUGCUUUGGAAACUGUUUAACUUGAGUGCAGAAGGGGAGAGUGGAAUUCCAUGUGUAGCGGUGAAAUGCGUAGAUAUAUGGAGGAACACCGGUGGCGAAAGCGGCUCUCUGGUCUGUAACUGACGCUGAGGCUCGAAAGCGUGGGGAGCAAACAGG
Molecule: ribosomal RNA, 765 nt
Filed under: uncultured Streptococcus sp.
Lineage: Bacteria; Bacillati; Bacillota; Bacilli; Lactobacillales; Streptococcaceae
Description: bacterial SSU rRNA
Rfam family: Bacterial small subunit ribosomal RNA
Source: RNAcentral